AGCCCCCUACGGGAGGCAGCAGUGGGGAGUAUUGCACAAUGGGGGAAACCCUGAUGCAGCGACGCCGCGUGAGUGAAGAAGUAUUUCGGUAUGUAAAGCUCUAUCAGCAGGGAAGAGAAUGACGGUACCUGAGUAAGAAGCCCCGGCUAACUACGUGCCAGCAGCCGCGGUAAUACGUAGGGGGCAAGCGUUAUCCGGAUUUACUGGGUGUAAAGGGUGCGUAGGCGGUUUUAUAAGUUAGAGGGGAAAUCUCGGGGCUCAACUCCGAAAUUGCCUCUAAUACUGUAGGACUAGAGAGUAGUUGG
This 305-nucleotide ribosomal RNA is filed under the name uncultured bacterium. Its description in RNAcentral is "bacterial SSU rRNA". It matches the Rfam family "Bacterial small subunit ribosomal RNA", at positions 333 to 655 of the family's 1533-position model. The record is from RNAcentral.